CAGAACCAGACAAGUCACAGAAGAGGCCAGAGGAAAGGCAACUCUCUCAGCAUCUACUUCCAGAAAGAGUAGAAUUGCAGGGAGUAACUGCUCAGAAGCAGUUAAGCAAAAUUGGCAGUUUUCCCACACAGCUAAGACAUUGAAUUUGAAAAACACCCUCAUAUAGCUAGCCAUUUGAAAUAUGUUUGAUAUAUUUACCAAAUUGAAUGUGAUUUUUGUAUUCUCACCAAUGUUCCCUUUUGUAGAUUCUCUUUAAUUACCUUAAACAAAUUUAUGCAUUUUGAUUAAAUAAAAAGGAGGAGGGGAGCUCCCAUUGUGGCUCAGUGGUUAAUGAACUGCACUAGUAUUCAUGAGGACUUGGGUUUGAUCCCUGGUCUCACUCAGUGGGUUAAGGAUUCAUUUCUGCUUCACCACAAGGGAACUCCUCAUUAUUAGCCUUUGUAAAAAAUAAAAAUAUAUGUUCAUUGGAUAAAAAUAAAGCUUUUCUUGAUUUCAUAAACUUCCAGUUUUUUUCCAUCUUCUGAAGUUUUGGGUUAUGGUUUCAAUGAGCAUGUUAUUUUCCCAAGACUAUUUCUUUGAAUUCCAACGUCUUUGUUUAUAAAAUAGGUAUUUACCUGCUCCACAACAAGUUCAUUGCGUGAGGUUAUCCAUGUUUAAGAGAUUCACAAGACGCAGGAGGGGAAUAGCUUGGCUGUGUCUUAAAGAUUUAACAUGUAAUCGUGUUUAAAGCAAAAAAUUUAACACAGAGUUUCAUUUCAUAAUUUAAAAAAUAAUUUAUUGUCGAGACUGUUUCUUCCCUUACACAGUGGUUACAAGAGCAUUUUAUAAUUCUUAAACAGUUCAUUUUGGGGGCUGUUUUGUUUUGUUUUUCUUUUAUGGCCACACCAACCCAUAUGGAGGUUCCCAAACUAGGGAUCCAGUUGGAGCUGUAGCUGCUGGCCUCCACCACAGCCACAGCAACACCAGAUCUGAGCCAAGUUUGUGACCUACACCACAGCUUGUGACAAUGCCAGAUCCUUAACCCACUGCCUGAGGCCAGGGAUUGAACCCUCAACCUCAUGGUUCCUAGUCAGAUUCGUUUCCUCUGCACCACGAUGGGAACUCCCU
RNAcentral lists this long non-coding RNA (1107 nucleotides) under Sus scrofa (pig). RNAcentral describes it as "lncRNA (ENSSSCG00005016850.1)". The record is from RNAcentral. Lineage: Eukaryota; Metazoa; Chordata; Mammalia; Artiodactyla; Suidae.